This is a long non-coding RNA of Rhincodon typus (whale shark), 453 nucleotides long. RefSeq lists it as uncharacterized. The record is from RefSeq and is a predicted model, not a curated record. NCBI's taxonomy places the organism in Eukaryota, Metazoa, Chordata, Chondrichthyes, Orectolobiformes, Rhincodontidae. The transcript has 2 exons.
AGCAAAUCUCCAGAAGGCUGGGAGUCACUAACAAUGUCCUUCAGUCAGCAAAGGAUCAGAUUAAAUGGUCGCUGCUAAAAUGAAACAGGAAUCUUACCUUUUUUCUAGCUACCAUUUUUCUGCCCUUCCCAACUUGUCCAACAAAUCCAGAUCCAAACUGUGGCACAUGCAUGCAAGAGAGGGCAGCCUGGAUCACGACCCCUUCUCUACAUCCAACUGCUAGAUGAUACUCCCUGGAUUUCACCCUGGCCUCAAACACCAGCUCGUUCUAAGAAAAGAAAGAACUCGUGAUGAAAGGUGCUAUAUAAAUACAACUUCAGGACGUCCUGAAGUACUUUACAGCCAAUGAAGUUUAUUGUGGAAGCAUAGUUUCUAUUGUAAUACAGGAAAUGAGACUGCGAGUUAACACACAGUCAGAUCCCACAGUGUGAUAAAUGAUGUGAUCAUCUGUUA